Long non-coding RNA from Neofelis nebulosa (Clouded leopard), 477 nucleotides. RefSeq lists it as uncharacterized. NCBI's taxonomy places the organism in Eukaryota, Metazoa, Chordata, Mammalia, Carnivora, Felidae. The record is from RefSeq and is a predicted model, not a curated record. The transcript has 2 exons.
AACGAGCAGGGGAGGGGCAGAGAGCGAGGGAGACACAGAAUCUGAAGCAGGCUCCAGGCUCCGAGCGGUCGGCAUAGAGCCUGACGCUGUGGGCUCGAACCGACAGACCGUGAGAUGGUGACUUGAGCUGAAGUCAGACGCUUGACUGACUGAGCCCCCCAGGUGACCAUGCUGGGUCUUUCUAAAGAGUAACAACAAAUAAGCACCCAUCAUACAGGAAGAAAUAAAAGAUUACUGACCGGUUCUUCAGAAACCUUUAUGUAAGCCUCUGCAAUAAUAUCUUUAUUCCUCCCCUCACCCUGACUUUUUCCCGACUCUAUGUUAACCAUUGUUCUUCUUCGUUGUGUACCACCUGUGUAUAUAUUUCUAAACAAUAUUUUGUUUAGAUUUUGCUUGUUUUGAAACUUUAUGUAACAGAAUCAUACUGUAAGGUUGUAUUUGUUUCUUUUGCAUAAUACACGUUUUGAGAUACGUCUG